Molecule: non-coding RNA, 770 nt
Filed under: Lethe chandica (angled red forester)
Lineage: Eukaryota; Metazoa; Arthropoda; Insecta; Lepidoptera; Nymphalidae
Source: RNAcentral
AAUUUUUAUGUUUUAUAAAGUUUAUUAUAAGUUUAUUUUACAUAUAAAUUUUAGUAUGAAAUUUUAAUUAUUUAAAAAAUAAUUAAUUAAAAAUUAUAGUAAGUAAAAUUAAAAAUUUAAGAAAUUAAGAUUUAGUAAUAUAAAAAUUAAUAACUAAUUUUGUGCCAGCAGUUGCGGUUAUACAAAAAUUAAAUUAAAUUAUUUCAGUAUUUAAUAAAUAAAUAUAAUAUUAAAAUAAAUAUUAAAUUAUUAGGUGAAAUUUUAAUUUAAUUAAAUUUUAAAUUUAAUUUAUGAUUUAGUAAAUUUAAUAAUAAACUAGGAUUAGAUACCCUAUUAUUAUAAAUUUAAUUAAUAAUACUAAAAUAGUAGAUAAUAAAUAUUGAAACUUAAAUAAUAUGGCGGUAUUUUAGUUCAUUUAGAGGAAUCUGUUUAAUAAUUGAUAAUCCACGAAUAAAUUUACUUAAUUUAGUAUUUUAUAUAUCGUUGUUAAAAAAAUAUUUUAUAAUAAAAAUAAUAUUUUAAAAUUUAUAUAAUAAAUUAGUUCAAAUCAAGAUGUAGAUUAUAAUUAAGAAUAUAAUGGAUUACAAUAAAAUAAUUUAAAAUGAAUAAUUAAUUUUAAAAUUAAUUUAAAGGUGGAUUUAAAUGUAAUUUUAAUUAAUUUAUUAAAAUGAUUAAAAAUUGAAAUAUGUACAUAUUGCCCGUCACUUUCAUUUAAAAAUUGGAAUAAGUCGUAACAAAGUAGAAGUACUGGAAAGUGUUUCUAGAAUGAA